GAUGAAGAACGCAGCGAAAUGCGAUAAUUAAUGUGAAUUGCAGAAUUCCGUGAAUCAUCGAGUUUUUGAACGCAUAUUGCGCCCCUUGGUAUUCCGAGGGGCAUGCCUGUCCGAGCGUCAUUGCAACCCUUCAAGCACGGCUUGUGUGUUGGACGGCCGCCCCAGUGUGGGCGGGUCCCAAAUGCAGUGGCGGCGCCGCGAUCCGGGUGCUCGAGUGCAUGGAAACCACGCGCUCGUUAGGCCCCGUCGGGCGCCGGUCGACCUAAUUAUCUUCGUUCUGGUUGACCUCGGAUCAGGUAGGAAUACCCGCUGAACUUAAGCAUAUCAAUAAGCGGAGGA
This 339-nucleotide unclassified non-coding RNA is filed under the name soil metagenome. Its description in RNAcentral is "partial contains 5.8S ribosomal RNA, internal transcribed spacer 2, and large subunit ribosomal RNA". The stretch from base 1 to 120 matches the Rfam family "5.8S ribosomal RNA", at positions 35 to 154 of the family's 154-position model. The record is from RNAcentral.